Long non-coding RNA from Anopheles arabiensis, 515 nucleotides. RefSeq lists it as uncharacterized. Lineage: Eukaryota; Metazoa; Arthropoda; Insecta; Diptera; Culicidae. The transcript is spliced from 3 exons. The record is from RefSeq and is a predicted model, not a curated record.
GACCGCAUCUUCGGGCUCACGGAAAUGGCCUCGCAGCUUGAUGCGCGAACCGUACCGUAGCUCGCCCGGCAAUCGUCCCACGUACGUUACGUGUGAGCUAAAUCGCUCAUGGAAUAUAACUGUUUUAACUCGUUGAACUUCUGGAGUGUCGUUAGCAGUACCUGAGUGAUUAUCUUUGGAUGAAGACACUCAAAGGGUUUUACUUGAUUUCGCAAGCGUUGCAACGUUUACUGCAACUGCUGCAUUUGACAGGACAAGCACAUCAGUUGUGUUCGGAACGUCAUCAUGCUUAAGACAGCCUUCGCACUUAAUAUCGCAAGCGCGCGCAAACUGGUCAAACUAGCAGGCAUGCGUUAGGCUAUUACCUGCUCGACGCUCGUGCAGGAAUUCACGAAACCUAAUAUCUUGCCACGACUUGGACAUCUUUAAUCAACAAAAAGAUGAGCCAUUGAUAUGACAUCGUUCAGGACUAGAUGAAAGAUUCUAUGGGAUUACAGAGAUUGCAAAAAGUUGAA